AACGAACGCUGGCGGCAUGCCUAACACAUGCAAGUCGAACGAGAUCUUCGGGUCUAGUGGCGCACGGGUGCGUAACGCGUGGGAAUCUGCCCUUUGGUUCGGAAUAACAGUUGGAAACGACUGCUAAUACCGGAUGAUGACGAAAGUCCAAAGAUUUAUCGCCAGAGGAUGAGCCCGCGUAGGAUUAGCUAGUUGGUGUGGUAAAGGCGCACCAAGGCGACGAUCCUUAGCUGGUCUGAGAGGAUGAUCAGCCACACUGGGACUGGGACACGGCCCAGACUCCUACGGGAGGCAGCGGUGGGGAAUAUUGGACAAUGGGCGAAAGCCUGAUCCAGCAAUGCCGCGUGAGUGAUGAAGGCCUUAGGGUUGUAAAGCUCUUUUACCCGGGAUGAUAAUGACAGUACCGGGAGAGUAAGCUCCGGCUAACUCCGUGCCAGCCGCCGCCGUAA
RNAcentral lists this ribosomal RNA (449 nucleotides) under uncultured bacterium. RNAcentral describes it as "partial 16S ribosomal RNA". It matches the Rfam family "Bacterial small subunit ribosomal RNA", at positions 29 to 523 of the family's 1533-position model. The record is from RNAcentral.